This 156-nucleotide ribosomal RNA is filed under the name Tridacna crocea. Its description in RNAcentral is "partial 18S ribosomal RNA". The record is from RNAcentral. Lineage: Eukaryota; Metazoa; Mollusca; Bivalvia; Cardiida; Cardiidae.
AGGGAGGAAGUANAAAGGCCCAUUUCCCCAUGGGGAGGGGGGCUUNUAAUCCAAUCUUGGUUUUAGGCAAAAAGUNGGCAAUUAGCCCGUCUGGAGAANUAAAAAUUAGACCUGGGCAGGAGGGGGNCCCUGGGAAUGAUUCAGGAGUUUUAAAAC